GCGGGUAUGGUGGAAUUGGCAGACACGUUGGAUUUAGGUUCCAAUGGGCAACCGUGCAGGUUCAAGUCCUGUUACCCGUACCA
Molecule: transfer RNA, 83 nt
Filed under: Oscillospiraceae bacterium
Lineage: Bacteria; Bacillati; Bacillota; Clostridia; Eubacteriales; Oscillospiraceae
Description: tRNA-Leu
Rfam family: tRNA
About the family: Transfer RNA (tRNA) molecules are approximately 80 nucleotides in length. Their secondary structure includes four short double-helical elements and three loops (D, anti-codon, and T loops).
Source: RNAcentral